UUGCUUCUCUUGAGAGCGGCGGACGGGUGAGUAAUGCCUAGGAAUCUGCCUGGUAGUGGGGGAUAACGUUCGGAAACGGACGCUAAUACCGCAUACGUCCUACGGGAGAAAGCAGGGGACCUUCGGGCCUUGAAAAUAUCAGAUGAGCCUAGGUCGGAUUAGCUAGUUGGUGGGGUAAUGGCUCACCAAGGCUACGAUCCGUAACUGGUCUGAGAGGAUGAUCAGUCACACUGGAACUGAGACACGGUCCAGACUCCUACGGGAGGCAGCAGUGGGGAAUAUUGGACAAUGGGCGAAAGCCUGAUCCAGCCAUGCCGCGUGUGUGAAGAAGGUCUUCGGAUUGUAAAGCACUUUAAGUUGGGAGGAAGGGUUGUAGAUUAAUACUCUGCAAUUUUGACGUUACCGACAGAAUAAGCACCGGCUAACUCUGUGCCAGCAGCCGCGGUAAUACAGAGGGUGCAAGCGUUAAUCGGAAUUACUGGGCGUAAAGCGCGCGUAGGUGGUUUGUUAAGUUGGAUGUGAAAUCCCCGGGCUCACCCUGGGAACUGCAUUCAAAACUGACUGACUAGAGUAUGGUAGAGGGUGGUGGAAUUUCCUGUGUAGCGGUG
This 608-nucleotide ribosomal RNA is filed under the name uncultured bacterium. RNAcentral's name for it is "bacterial SSU rRNA". It matches the Rfam family "Bacterial small subunit ribosomal RNA", at positions 80 to 683 of the family's 1533-position model. The record is from RNAcentral.